UCUACUCAAGAAUAUGGUAGUUACUCUCUGC
Molecule: non-coding RNA, 31 nt
Filed under: Rattus norvegicus (Norway rat)
Lineage: Eukaryota; Metazoa; Chordata; Mammalia; Rodentia; Muridae
Source: RNAcentral